CCUACGGGCGGCAGCAGUGGGGAAUAUUGCACAAUGGGCGCAAGCCUGAUGCAGCCAUGCCGCGUGUGUGAAGAAGGCCUUCGGGUUGUAAAGCACUUUCAGCGGGGAGGAAGGCGUUAAGGUUAAUAACCUUGUCGAUUGACGUUACCCGCAGAAGAAGCACCGGCUAACUCCGUGCCAGCAGCCGCGGUAAUACGGAGGGUGCAAGCGUUAAUCGGAAUUACUGGGCGUAAAGCGCACGCAGGCGGUCUGUCAAGUCGGAUGUGAAAUCCCCGGGCUCAACCUGGGAACUGCAUUCGAAACUGGCAGGCUAGAGUCUUGGAGAGGGGGGUAGAAUUCCAGGUGUAGCGGUGACAUGCGUAGAGAUCUGGAGGAAUACCGGUGGCGAAGGCGGCCCCCUGGACAAAGAGUGACGCUCAGGUGCGAAAGCGUUGGGAGCAAACAGGAUUAGAUACCCGGGUAGUC
This 465-nucleotide ribosomal RNA is filed under the name uncultured Klebsiella sp. Its description in RNAcentral is "bacterial SSU rRNA". It matches the Rfam family "Bacterial small subunit ribosomal RNA", at positions 338 to 795 of the family's 1533-position model. The record is from RNAcentral. Lineage: Bacteria; Pseudomonadati; Pseudomonadota; Gammaproteobacteria; Enterobacterales; Enterobacteriaceae.